UAUGAUUUCGAAUAACUAAUUGAAUUUUUUAAGAUUUUGAAGAAUUCAUUGAAUUUUAAGCAAAAAAAUUACAAAAGUGAAUAAAAAGGAUGAUAACUUUUUUUUUGGUGCAUAUAAUUCUAACUUUUUAUUUAUUACAUAAAUAAAUUCUAAAGCUUGAAUAAAGCAAAUAAAAACGAAAUUUUUUAUAGCAAUAUUCAUUAUUGCCUAAAAAAAUAGUAACAAAGUGAUUAUAAAUCCAUGAUUUUCUAAGUAGCAUUUCUCCACAUAUCUGAACCUAUAUUAGUCCUCCAUAAAUUUGCAUCUUCUCGUUCCUGCUCUUGUGUUUGAACAAUGGGUUCAUAAUUAUUGUCUUCAUGAUUUGGUAACACUGAAGAUGAGGAUGAAGACUCAUCCGUAGGUUCGA
RNAcentral lists this long non-coding RNA (406 nucleotides) under Trifolium pratense (red clover). RNAcentral's name for it is "long non-coding RNA (TPRA_LNC000809)". Lineage: Eukaryota; Viridiplantae; Streptophyta; Magnoliopsida; Fabales; Fabaceae. The record is from RNAcentral.